This 273-nucleotide unclassified non-coding RNA is filed under the name Hevea brasiliensis (rubber tree). Lineage: Eukaryota; Viridiplantae; Streptophyta; Magnoliopsida; Malpighiales; Euphorbiaceae. The record is from RNAcentral.
UAGAUAUGAUGUAAAUUACAUAAGCAAAUAAAGACGGUUGCUGUAUGUUCUGUGCUGUGUCCUGUUGUCCAAUUAGUUUUUUUGUUUACAAGCAGAGUUUCAAAUAGUGGCCAUAUUGAUUGAAUUGUCACAAAUUUUGAGGCUGGCAAUACAGUGAUGUGAUUUUUAACAAAUUGUUUACUUCCAUUCACUGAUCACUGUGGCAAUUUUUAAUCAAACACUGAAGUUUUGUGAGAACUAAGGACAAUUCUGGCUUGGCUGGCAUCUGGAUGG